This 73-nucleotide transfer RNA is filed under the name Verrucomicrobiota bacterium. Its description in RNAcentral is "Verrucomicrobia bacterium (rhizosphere metagenome) tRNA-Trp". It matches the Rfam family "tRNA". From Rfam's summary of the family: Transfer RNA (tRNA) molecules are approximately 80 nucleotides in length. Lineage: Bacteria; Pseudomonadati; Verrucomicrobiota. The record is from RNAcentral. RNAcentral also lists the same sequence under 5 other names.
ACGCCAGUAACUCAAUUGGUAGAGUAGCGGUCUCCAAAACCGCCUGUUGGGGGUUCGAGUCCCUCCUGGCGUG